GAAUAGCGGAGCUUAUUGUAUUAAUACAAUAUUAACUCUGUUAAAUAAAAUUCUAGGUAUAUUUAUGAUUAUGACAUUGUAUACUUUAGGUCUUGACCAAGUCACGUGCCAGCAGUCUCGGUAAUACGUGGAAGACGAGUGUUAUUCAUCUUUAUUAGGUUUAAAGGGUACGUAGACAGCUAAUUAAGCUUACCGCAGGUCAGUACUAAUUAUGCUAGAGUUUAUAUGAGGAAAGUAGUACGGUGAGCGUAGAGAUGAAAUUCUUUGAGGCCACUUAGAAACUGAUAAAGGCGAAAGCGGCUUCUUAUGUAAAACUGACGUUUAGGGACGAAGGCUCGAUGAAAUAACAGGAUUAGAUACCCUAGCAUUGUGAGCAGACAAUGAUGAAUGUCAUAUAUAAGACUUCACAAACCAGUCACCAUUGACUGGCUAUUAACCUUUAAGUUUUAAGUUUAAUAACAGGCAAUUAAGCUUAAGCUUAAACUUUAGGCUUAUAAACAAUAAAUAAGCAAAAGUGUGUUAAAGUGAAAAAUGUUUUUUAUAUAAAUGAAAGUGUAAGCAUUCCACCUCAAGAGUAAUAUGGCCUCAUAUAAACUGAAAUCAUUAGACCGUUUCUGAAACCAGUAGUGAAGUAUGUUGUUUAAUUUGAUAACCCACGGAAAACCUUACCACAAUUUGUAUAUUUAUAUUCUUUUUAUAAAUACAAGCGUUGCACGGCUGUCUUUAGUUAAUGUCGUGAGACUUUGGUUAGCUCCAUUAAAUUAACGUAAACCCUUACUUUAUUUUAUUAUAUAAAGUAGUUCGCCACUAUAUUGGUUAUGAUAUAAGGGAUUAAGACAAGUCAUCAUGGCCUAAAUAUU
This 860-nucleotide ribosomal RNA is filed under the name Petractis hypoleuca. RNAcentral's name for it is "SSU rRNA". It matches the Rfam family "Bacterial small subunit ribosomal RNA", at positions 399 to 1208 of the family's 1533-position model. The record is from RNAcentral. Lineage: Eukaryota; Fungi; Ascomycota; Lecanoromycetes; Ostropales; Gyalectaceae.